This 1335-nucleotide long non-coding RNA is filed under the name Ananas comosus (pineapple). RNAcentral's name for it is "long non-coding RNA (ACOM_LNC040948)". The record is from RNAcentral. Lineage: Eukaryota; Viridiplantae; Streptophyta; Magnoliopsida; Poales; Bromeliaceae.
CCAAAAGCUUACCACAAUGUGAAUGCCGCAACGAAAACACCCCGCUCCAACGGGCGCACGAAAGCUCGAUCCGUCGCUCCCAACGCGUUCGCGAGCAUCUUCUCCACCAACGCCGCGAAUUUGAGCGUGAGAUAUGGAGAGAUGAGAGAGAAAUCUAGAGAGAGGAAUGAAGGUUUCUCUCACUAGCACCAUGCGUGCGUGUGUGUGUGCUCGGGCUGAAGGAGAGGAAGAAGAAGCAUCAGCUUCUUUAUAAUGCACCCCAAGGCACUACUCACUUCAGGCAGUUUUAGCAGUUCGGAACAGUUGGAGCCCUUCUGAAUAUCCGUUUGAGCUCAAAUUUGACAGGCAGACUCAGUUCAACGUACUGAGUAAGAAUAUAUCUUAAGUUUUCAGUUUCGACCUCGUUUGGCCACUGAAAACUGCACCGGACUGUAAUCUUUAUCAGAUAGCUGUUGGAUUUUAUUUCUCACUCUACGGGCGUUAAAAAAAUAUGAAACUUGAAAUCUAGCCUCAUAAAAAUAUUUCUGACUUAUCCUCCAAUUUUCAUAAUUUUCUAAGACUGUGUGUUUUCUGCUAAUUUAUCUGUCCCGUUUCCAACAGAAAAUUCUAGAUCUUCUAUUUUCAUUCCGAUUUCAGCACAAGUCAAUUCUAACUUAUGUUUUACUUCUAUAAAUCCAAUAAAAAUAGUUUCUCAUACUAUUUUUAUUUAUUUUUAUUUUUAUACCAAAAUCUGGUAUGUUACAUUCUCUACCCCUCAAAAGAAUUUCGUCCGCGAAAUUCAAACAAUGCCUCAAUUCAGCUUCUCGAGCAAUUGAGGGUACCAACUCAUUCUUCCACUCCAGAGCGGCUCCACACCAUCGUGUUUUGAGAAGCGGCUCAUUCUAAAGGACAUGGGUUUAAUAUUAAACACAUUUGCAAAAUGUGAUACAAAAGUGCAUCACGGGUCUUGCAAGUCAUAAAGGCAGCGCAAGUCGAUGCUCGACAACUCUACGCGCUCCAACACCACUCGCCAUUCGGUACAUAAAGAACUCUUUUUUGCACUGGCCUUCCCUUUUGGGAAUACAUUCCAAUUCGAUCACCGACAUUGCUUAGAAGCAAUAUCGCCGGUACAUCGCUCCAUCGUGAGUGCUCUAAUUUGGCACUGACCCUAAACGUUAACGUGAGAUGGCCUAUCUUAGCACAUCCCCAAUUCCAAUCCUCCAAGUCCACGUGGCUUACUACUCGCUCAAGGUCUCACCAAGAGCACUUCAUCUUCUGAUACCAUAUGCCACAGUCAACAUCGAACUACUUUCGCAACAAGCUCACGCGAGCGCUUCGUUCAUAAAUUCGAGUCAA